AGAGUUUGAUCCUGGCUCAGGAUGAACGCUGGCGGUGUGGAUAAGGCAUGCAAGUCAAACGGCUCGCAAGAGCAGUGGCGAACGAGGUAGUAGCACGUGGGUAUUUCCCUUCAAGUCAGGAAUAACUAGUCGAAAGAUUGGCUAAUACUUGAUAGUCUCUUCGGAGUAAAGAUUUAUCGCUUGAAGAAAAGCCUGCGGAGUAUCAGCUAGUUGGUAGGGUAAUGGCCUACCAAGGCAAUGACGCUUAGGGGGAGUGAGAGCUUGGCCCCCACCGAUGGUACUGAGACACGGACCAUACACCUACGGGUGGCCGCAGUCGAGAAUCUUCCGCAAUGGACGAAAGUCUGACGGAGCGACACCGCGUGAUGGAUGAAGACCCUCUGGGUCGUAAACAUCUUUUAUAGAGGAGAAAGUUUAUUGAUAGUACUCUACGAAUAAGGGGUUGCUAAACUCGUGCCAGCAGCCGCGGUAAU
Molecule: ribosomal RNA, 473 nt
Filed under: uncultured soil bacterium
Lineage: Bacteria
Description: bacterial SSU rRNA
Rfam family: Bacterial small subunit ribosomal RNA
Source: RNAcentral